RNAcentral lists this ribosomal RNA (469 nucleotides) under uncultured bacterium. RNAcentral's name for it is "partial 16S ribosomal RNA". It matches the Rfam family "Bacterial small subunit ribosomal RNA", at positions 28 to 507 of the family's 1533-position model. The record is from RNAcentral.
GACGAACGCUGGCAGCGUGCUUAACACAUGCAAGUCGAACGAUGAGUCCUUAUCUUGCUUUGGUGAACUUGUCGCGCACGUGUGUGUAACACGUGAGCAACGUGCCCAGGACUCUGGUAUAACCACGGGAAACCUGGGCUUAUACCGGAUAGGUGUCAAGCCGCCUUGCUCUUCGAUGGAAAGAGUUUUGUGGUUCUGGAUUGGCUCACGGUCUGUCAGUUUGUUGGGGGGGGAAUGGCCUACCACGGCGUCGGCAGGCGGCCGGCCUGGGAGGGUGACCAGCCACACUGGGACUGAGAGACGGCGCCGACUCCUACGGGAGGCAGAAGUGGGGAAUAUUGUAGAAUGGGCGCAAGACUGAUGCAGAAAAGCUGCGUGGGGGAUGAGGGCCUUCGGGUUGUAAAACUCUUUUAGAGGGGAAGAAGCGGAAGUGACGGUACCUGCAGAAAAAGCAACGGCUAACUACGUG